Molecule: long non-coding RNA, 404 nt
Organism: Ochotona princeps (American pika)
Lineage: Eukaryota; Metazoa; Chordata; Mammalia; Lagomorpha; Ochotonidae
Exons: 3
Source: RefSeq, a predicted model, not a curated record
CACAGACUAUAUGUAAAUGAAAAUGAGUGCGACUGGAUGUGGCCCAGGGCAAGCCUGAACAAUCCAUGCCAUAGCUAUCAUUAAUUUUCCAAUAUGUAGUAAGAGGAAAGUAGCUGAACAGAUUCAGAGUAGAGUACUGAAGCUACUCACUGGAAGUCUCCCACCCAAAGAUCUAUACUUGCUAGGCCACCACUGUUUCAUCAGAAGAUGGGUUCAUUUAGCACUUAUUCAUUAGACAACAUCCUUACCAGAGACCCACAAGUGAAAGAAGGUACCAGAUGUCCUUGAAUUCACUGGCUGGAGGAGGUGACUAUGGCAAAGCGUUGGGCCACUUCAGCAAUAAUCUCCAUCAUCACCCUCCUUGAUAUUUCUCACAUUCAUCUUUGACUCAGGCAGGUCAAGUC